UACGGAGGACCCAAGCGUUAUCCGGAUUUAUUGGGUUUAAAGGGUGCGUAGGCGGAUUGAUAAGUCAGUGGUGAAAUCCUGCAGCUUAACUGCAGAACUGCCAUUGAAACUGUUGAUCUUGAGUACGGUUGAGGUGGGCGGAAUGUGUCAUGUAGCGGUGAAAUGCUUAGAUAUGACACAGAACACCAAUUGCGAAGGCAGCUCGCUAAGCCGUUACUGACGCUAAUGCACGAAAGCGUGGGGAGCGAACAGG
This 253-nucleotide ribosomal RNA is filed under the name uncultured bacterium. RNAcentral describes it as "partial 16S ribosomal RNA". It matches the Rfam family "Bacterial small subunit ribosomal RNA", at positions 524 to 776 of the family's 1533-position model. The record is from RNAcentral.